RNAcentral lists this ribosomal RNA (497 nucleotides) under uncultured bacterium. RNAcentral's name for it is "partial 16S ribosomal RNA". It matches the Rfam family "Bacterial small subunit ribosomal RNA", at positions 28 to 507 of the family's 1533-position model. The record is from RNAcentral.
GAUGAACGCUGGCGGCGUGCCUAAUACAUGCAAGUCGAGCGAACGGACGAGAAGCUUGCUUCUCUGAUGUUAGCGGCUGACGGGUGAGUAACACGUGGAUAACCUACCUAUAAGACUGGGAUAACUUCGGGAAACCGGAGCUAAUACCGGAUAAUAUUUUGAACCGCAUGGUUCAAAAGUGAAAGACGGUCUUGCUGUCACUUAUAGAUGGAUCCGCGCUGCAUUAGCUAGUUGGUAAGGUAACGGCUUACCAAGGCAACGAUGCAUAGCCGACCUGAGAGGGUGAUCGGCCACACUGGAACUGAGACACGGUCCAGACUCCUACGGGAGGCAGCAGUAGGGAAUCUUCCGCAAUGGGCGAAAGCCUGACGGAGCAACGCCGCGUGAGUGAUGAAGGUCUUCGGAUCGUAAAACUCUGAUAUUAGGGAAGAACAUAUGUGUAAGUAACUGUGCACAUCUUGACGGUACCUAAUCAGAAAGCCACGGCUAACUACGUG